UGAAAGCCUGGGGUGCCCCGCGAGGGGAGCCCUAGCACAGGUGCUGCAUGGCCGUCGUCAGCUCGUGCCGUGAGGUGUUGGGUUAAGUCCCGCAACGAGCGCAACCCCGCCGUUAGUUGCCAGCGGUUCGGCCGGGCACUCUAACGGGACUGCCCGCGAAAGCGGGAGGAAGGAGGGGACGACGUCUGGUCAGCAUGGCCCUUACGGCCUGGGCGACACACGUGCUACAAUGCCCACUACAAAGCGAUGCCACCCGGCAACGGGGAGCUAAUCGCAAAAGGUGGGCCCAGUUCGGAUUGGGGUCUGCAACCCGACCCCAUGAAGCCGGAAUCGCUAGUAAUCGCGGAUCAGCCAUGCCGCGGUGAAUACGUUCCCGGGCCUU
RNAcentral lists this ribosomal RNA (382 nucleotides) under uncultured Thermus sp. RNAcentral describes it as "bacterial SSU rRNA". It matches the Rfam family "Bacterial small subunit ribosomal RNA", at positions 1002 to 1382 of the family's 1533-position model. Lineage: Bacteria; Thermotogati; Deinococcota; Deinococci; Thermales; Thermaceae. The record is from RNAcentral.